AAUUUUGGCGAACGAAAGGGGAAGAGCUCAUUGCNNNNNNNNNNNNUUNGAGWCGUCGKWAAUGUGKCGUAUGGGWGGCGGAUCUUCCGAACGCGAUCGGAGGUACAAGUCCCCAUGAGAGGGGUAUGUAACCCGUAGACGGUGCUAGGCCCGUGCCGCCUUCGAUCCGCGUGCGGAGUUGCCGUCUUCCCGGGAGUCGGGUUGCUUGGGAGUGCAGCCCAAAGUGGGUGGUAAACUCCACCUAAAGCUAAAUACUGCCGAGAGACCGAUAGCGAACAAGUACCGUGAGGGAAAGUUGAAAAGCACUUUGAAGAGAGAGUUCAAGAGUACGUGAAACCGUUCAGAGGUAAACGGGUGGGACCUCGAAGUCCGAGACGGCGGUGGAUUCAGUCCAGGCCCUCUUACCCCCGAGUCUCGGUGGCCCUUUGAGAGGGAAGGGGCUUGGGGUCGGAGCUAGGGGGCCUUGGCGCACUUCCACGCCCCGUCCAGAAGGACGUUGCGACCGGUUGGGUGGCCGUCGAGAGGCAGGCAGGAAAGGUGGCCUCCUCGAUCGCCUAGGCAGUCGAGAGGUGUUAUAGUCCGUCGGGGCCCGAGGGGCCGCCCGACCGGGGUUUUUUAUGGCGUUCCCUUCCAUCGGGAAGCGGCCCUUCUUUCGAGCAGGCUUACCUUGGCGUCCGGGCAGCAAUGGCCAACGCGAAGGGUGGAAUGCCGCGGAGGCAAGGGCUCGUGGGGAGCGGAAGGUCGCGACGAGUAGGUCGGUAACCCACCCGACCCGUCUUGAAACACGGACCAAGGAGUCUAACGCGUGUGCGAGUUCCCGGGACUUGAACAGGCCCGUGGGCGCAAUGAAGGUGAAGGGCCCUCGGCCCUAGUUGGGAUCCCCGCUCUGCGGGGCGCACCAACGGCCCGCCUGAAGUCGUGCUCGGCUUGGCGGAGCUAGAGCAUACGCUCUGGGACCCGAAAGNUGGUGAACUAUGCCUGGGCAGGACGAAGCCAGAGGANNCUNNNNNGGAGGUCCGCAGCGAUUCUGACGUGCAAAUCGAUCGACAGACCUU
RNAcentral lists this ribosomal RNA (1055 nucleotides) under Parahya submersa. RNAcentral describes it as "eukaryotic LSU rRNA". It matches the Rfam family "Eukaryotic large subunit ribosomal RNA", at positions 82 to 913 of the family's 3401-position model. The record is from RNAcentral. Lineage: Eukaryota; Metazoa; Arthropoda; Arachnida; Pseudoscorpiones; Parahyidae.